CCGGGAACGGGACCAAGCCGAGGGGGAGGCGAGGGAUCCACCGCGGCACCCCCGUGUCCUGGAGGAGCCUCAUCCCAAAUUGCAGCCAGUGAUGCAAGGGCUCGUCCUGUGACAGGUGGGAGUUGUCCGGUCUGCAUCCCCAGCCCAGCGUCUCUGGGAUGCAAUAAGGAGGACGCUCCAUGGCAUUCGUGUUUCCAUGUAAUAACAAAGCACGCGGAAAUGUUUUAACAGUGCUUGCGGGGAAGUGGAUAAAGCGUCCCCCAAUAUCAAGGCGCCGCAGCCUGGCCUUCCCAUCCCCACAGAAAGGAAACAGUAAAGAAUUGAAGAUGGAGAGUACAAAAUCAGAGAUGAAGAUGGUUUUGCUUCCAGUGAAACAGUUAAUGAGCAGAACAGUUGCUCUGUGAAUGGUGGCCAUUGCUGCAGCUUGGCCUUGACAUGAUUCCCAGUCUGAAACAUUAGGAACCAGAUUUUAGAAAGCUGUCGGUCUGCGGAUCUCAGGUGUGGGUUGUCCAACCUGUCUUUGUGGCUGCGAGCACACAGACCAUCUGGGUUAAUAUCUGGGUUCCAAGCUGUGGAAAUGCUUCAGCCUGAGCACUCAGACCAUCGUGCUGCUGUGUGCGGUCAGGAGAGCGUGACUGGACAUAAUCCAAGAAGAGCUUCUCAGACACAGGGUAGCAGGACAAACAGCAGCCAGCAGAGCAAAGCCCUGGCGCACGGAGGUUCCCUCUCGACCUGCGUGCAAGCACACUUUUUACACAGGAGGCAGGAACACAAGGUGAGCAGAAGAAAUUGAAAUCUGCCACAGGAAGCCAAGCAGACGACUUGGCAAGCAAGCAGUUAACACGGGAUGGCAGAAGGAGGGAGUGACUGUAUUCUCUGAAGAACUGAGCAACUGGUGUCACUGCCUUCACGUCUGUGUGAGCACAGACUUAGGAAGGAAAGGAUGGAAGGUUGUUCUCAGUGGUCUGCCUCCCUCAAUUCUUCUACUGCUAGUGCACACCAGACCUGCGUCUUGUCGGAGAGGGCACUGACUGUGAAAAUCCUGUGCAAAAUCGCACUGGGCCGUUCUCUCACCUGAGGAUUAUCCCACAGUGCAAGGGGCUCUGAGAGGAAUAUCCAUGUGCGGGGCAGAAGGAGAGAGUUACCCAUGUGUAUAGGCACAUAUGGACAGUCACUGAAAAGGGAAAAGAAAGUAACUUUAUAACAAUGAGGGUUUUUUGA
Harpia harpyja (harpy eagle) is the source of this 1221-nucleotide long non-coding RNA. RefSeq lists it as uncharacterized. Lineage: Eukaryota; Metazoa; Chordata; Aves; Accipitriformes; Accipitridae. The record is from RefSeq and is a predicted model, not a curated record. The transcript is spliced from 5 exons.